UCGGACCGCCGGCUCCGGCCGGCCCGCGCCUGCCAGGGGACCUAAACUCUGUCUGUACAUGCCGUCUGAGUACUAUAUAAUAGUUAAAACUUUCAACAACGGAUCUCUUGGUUCUGGCAUCGAUGAAGAACGCAGCGAAAUGCGAUAAGUAAUGUGAAUUGCAAAAUUCAGUGAAUCAUCAAAUCUUUGAACGCACAUUGCGCCCCUUGGUAUUCCGGGGGGCAUGCCUGUCCGAGCGUCAUUACAACCCUCAAGCUCUGCUUGGUGUUGGGCCCCGCCUCCUGGCGGGCCCUAAAGUCAGUGGCGGUGCCGUCCGGCUCCGAGCGUAGUAAUUCUUCUCGCUCCGGAGGCCCGGGCUCGCGCCUGCCAGCAACCCCCAAUUUUUUUACAGGUUGACCUCGGAUCAGGUAGGGAUACCCGCUGAACUUAAGCAUAUCAAUA
RNAcentral lists this ribosomal RNA (441 nucleotides) under Geomyces sp. CZ-2011b. RNAcentral's name for it is "eukaryotic LSU rRNA". The stretch from base 88 to 241 matches the Rfam family "5.8S ribosomal RNA". The record is from RNAcentral. Lineage: Eukaryota; Fungi; Ascomycota; Leotiomycetes; Thelebolales; Pseudeurotiaceae.